GGUGGUGCUUCGGGUGCGCUAGUAAUACUAAUCAUUUCCGGAUCUCUGAUAGGCAUCAUCCCGAAUGUUAUGUUCUUGGAUGACAUGUCUACCACUGUGUUCGAGUAGAUGCCAGUCUGAAAACCGUCACGCUGCCAUGAUGAACAGAAAGUUUGAGGAAAAUGUUUGGGACACGAAGCCAAGUUUUCGUGAAUUCGAAACAAACAUUUUAUAUAUUUCUUGAUUUUUAUUUUUUCGAUUAUUUUCAAAGAUUACUUUUCAAAGAUACUUACCACACUUUGAGUAUUGCAAUCCUGUCCGCUCAUCGUCAAGUCGAGUCUGAACAGAUCACUAUUGAUAACAUCGAUGUUGCAAGUUUCGGAACGUCCGAGUGCAUAAAUUCUACCAUUGAACGGUUUAUUUGUACGAACUUGAACGGCAAUACGCGUGUCCUUGCAAUCGACGGAUACUGUUCAACGUGAAAGGAUUAAUAUAUCAAAGAUAUCAACGUUUAAUAUAAUAUUCAUCGGUUAUGAAAAAUCUUAUUGAAGUUUUACCAUCGUAACAGGUGCCAGUUUUAUCGCAAUUGAUAUCGUUCCUUGUCAGAUUAUUAACCGUAGGAUCUUCCGUAGUUUCGAAAACGACCGGAAGCGGAUCAGCCAGAGGCCCAGUUCCUUCUGCGAAUAAAUUCAUAUAUAAAAUUCAA
Molecule: long non-coding RNA, 685 nt
Filed under: Polistes fuscatus (common paper wasp)
Lineage: Eukaryota; Metazoa; Arthropoda; Insecta; Hymenoptera; Vespidae
Description: uncharacterized LOC122517399
Source: RNAcentral